GACGAACACUGGCGGCGUGCUUAACACAUGCAAGUCGAACGGAAAGGCCCUGCUUUUGUGGGGUGCUCGAGUGGCGAACGGGUGAGUAACACGUGAGUAACCUGCCCUUGACUUUGGGAUAACUUCAGGAAACUGGGGCUAAUACCGGAUAGGAGCUCCUGCUGCAUGGUGGGGGUUGGAAAGUUUCGGCGGUUGGGGAUGGACUCGCGGCUUAUCAGCUUGUUGGUGGGGUAGUGGCUUACCAAGGCUUUGACGGGUAGCCGGCCUGAGAGGGUGACCGGCCACAUUGGGACUGAGAUACGGCCCAGACUCCUACGGGAGGCAGCAGUGGGGAAUAUUGCUCAAUGGGCGGAAGCCUGAUGCAGCAACGCCGCGUGCGGGAUGACGGCCUUCGGGUUGUAAACCGCUUUCGCCUGUGACGAAGCGUGAGUGACGGUAAUGGGUAAAGAAGCACCGGCUAACUACGUG
Molecule: ribosomal RNA, 468 nt
Filed under: uncultured bacterium
Lineage: Bacteria
Description: partial 16S ribosomal RNA
Rfam family: Bacterial small subunit ribosomal RNA
Source: RNAcentral